This 430-nucleotide ribosomal RNA is filed under the name Bacteroidota bacterium. Its description in RNAcentral is "Bacteroidetes bacterium partial 16S ribosomal RNA". It matches the Rfam family "Bacterial small subunit ribosomal RNA", at positions 355 to 776 of the family's 1533-position model. The record is from RNAcentral. Lineage: Bacteria; Pseudomonadati; Bacteroidota.
UAGGGAAUCUUCGGCAAUGGGGGGAACCCUGACCGAGCAACGCCGCGUGAGUGAAGAAGGUUCUCGGAUCGUAAAGCUCUGUUGUUAAGGAAGAACGAGUGUGAGAAUGGAAAGUUCAUGCUGUGACGGUACUUAACCAGAAAGGGACGGCUAACUACGUGCCAGCAGCCGCGGUAAUACGUAGGUCCCGAGCGUUGUCCGGAUUUAUUGGGCGUAAAGCGAGCGCAGGCGGUCAAUUAAGUCUGAUGUGAAAGCCCCCGGCUCAACCGGGGAGGGUCAUUGGAAACUGGUUGACUUGAGUGCAGAAGAGGAGAGUGGAAUUCCAUGUGUAGCGGUGAAAUGCGUAGAUAUAUGGAGGAACACCAAUGGCGAAGGCGACUCUCUGGUCUGUAACUGACGCUGAGGUUCGAAAGCGUGGGUAGCAAACAGG